RNAcentral lists this ribosomal RNA (501 nucleotides) under uncultured bacterium. RNAcentral's name for it is "partial 16S ribosomal RNA". It matches the Rfam family "Bacterial small subunit ribosomal RNA", at positions 30 to 523 of the family's 1533-position model. The record is from RNAcentral.
AUUGAACGCUGGCGGCAGGCUCUACACAUGCAAGUCGAGCGGGGGAAGGUAGCUUGCUACCGGACCUAGCGGCGGACGGGUGAGUAAUGCUUAGGAAUCUGCCUAUUAGUGGGGGACAACAUCUAGAAAGGGAUGCUAAUACAGCAUACGUCUUUCGGGAGAAAGCAGGGGAUCUUCGGACCUUGCGCUAAUAGAUGAGCCUAGGUCGGUUUAGCUGGUUGUUGGGGUAAAGGCCUACAAAGGCGACGAUCUGUAGCGGGUCUGAGAGGAUGGGCCGCCACACGGGGACUGCAAGACGGCCGAGACUCCGACUGGGGGCAUCAGUUGGGAAUAUUGGACAAUGGGGGGAAACCUGAUACAUCAAAGCCUCGUGUGUGAAUAAGGCCUUAUGGUUGUAACGCACUUUAAGCGAAGAGGAGGCUACUUAAGUUAAUACCUGGGGAUAGUGGACGUUACUCGCAGAAUAAGCACCGGCUAACUCUGUGCCAGCAGCCGCCGUAA